UACGUAGGGGGCAAGCGUUGUCCGGAAUCAUUGGGCGUAAAGCGCGCGUAGGUGGCCUCAUAAGUCCGCUGUGAAAGUCAAAGGCUCAACCUUUGAAAGCCGGUGGAUACUGUGGGGCUAGAGUACGGAAGAGGCGAGUGGAAUUCCUGGUGUAGCGGUGGAAUGCGCAGAUAUCAGGAGGAACACCAAUAGCGAAGGCAGCUCGCUGGGACGUUACUGACACUGAGGCGCGAAAGCGUGGGGAGCGAACAGG
This 253-nucleotide ribosomal RNA is filed under the name uncultured bacterium. Its description in RNAcentral is "partial 16S ribosomal RNA". It matches the Rfam family "Bacterial small subunit ribosomal RNA", at positions 524 to 776 of the family's 1533-position model. The record is from RNAcentral.